This 29-nucleotide non-coding RNA is filed under the name Rattus norvegicus (Norway rat). Lineage: Eukaryota; Metazoa; Chordata; Mammalia; Rodentia; Muridae. The record is from RNAcentral.
UAGCUUUUAUCAUUGAAGCGGUUUGUUCC